UACGUAGGGUGCGAGCGUUGUCCGGAAUUAUUGGGCGUAAAGGGCUCGUAGGCGGUCUGUCGCGUCGGGAGUGAAAACUCAGGGCCUUAACCCUGAGCCUGCUUCCGAUACGGGCAGACUAGAGGUAUGCAGGGGAGAACGGAAUUCCUGGUGUAGCGGUGAAAUGCGCAGAUAUCAGGAGGAACACCGGUGGCGAAGGCGGUUCUCUGGGCAUUACCUGACGCUGAGGAGCGAAGGUGUGGGGAGCGAACAGG
RNAcentral lists this ribosomal RNA (254 nucleotides) under uncultured bacterium. Its description in RNAcentral is "partial 16S ribosomal RNA". It matches the Rfam family "Bacterial small subunit ribosomal RNA", at positions 524 to 776 of the family's 1533-position model. The record is from RNAcentral.